Molecule: long non-coding RNA, 1556 nt
Organism: Pteronotus mesoamericanus
Lineage: Eukaryota; Metazoa; Chordata; Mammalia; Chiroptera; Mormoopidae
Exons: 3
Source: RefSeq, a predicted model, not a curated record
CAGUCUGAAUAUGCACAGAGCAAGAUGCUGACUGGAGUUGGGGGCUUCGUUCUGAGUCUGCUCUUCCUUGGGGCGGGGCUGUUCAUCUACUGCAGGAAUCAGAAAGGACACUCUGGACUUCAGCCAACAGGACUCCUGAGCUGAAGUGCCAAUGGUGACACUGGUGAUACUGCAGGAAGAAAGAACCUUCUGUCCCGGCUUCUUUGCAGCAUGGAAAGUUUUCUUACUUGGCUCUUACUCCACAGAGAGAGCGCUUCCUCGGGAUCUGCUUACGUCCAGGUUCAGUGACCCUGCAGAACACACAUUUCCUGCCUGGUUCAGUGACCCUGCAAGAACACACAUUUCCUGCCGGCUUCCUUAGCCCCCACCCUUGACCUGGAGGUCCCAGUAUCCCCUGCUGUGCCUUUCUACCUUCCUUCCUUCCCCGGUCCCUUUGUAUACAACCCUUAUUGUCUCCUGUGCACCUGAAUUCACCUUCUGCCCACAAUUUUCCUUUGUUAAAUAUGGAUUAAAAAUCAUCUGUUUCAUACAGCUUCAAGUACAAGAAGUAGGAAGACAAGAGAAUGAGAGGAUUUCAUCACCAUACAAUAAUUUUCAUUUUUGGUCUGAAUUUUGGUCACAUGGGAAUCUGAAAGAUUUCUUUAUUUCCUUCCAUGCUUUUUUAUGAGUUUUCUGCAUUCUGUGAUGAGUCAUGUUUCCCUGAGUCAGGAGAAAGCCUGCAGUACAUGGUGGUCUCCUACAUCUUGUUUCUCAAAGACAUGCAAGUCCCUUCAUGACAUAGGAUACACAAAGGGGACAAUAAGUAUAAGAAAUGCAGGGUGUGAUGCCUUCACAGUUUUUAUAAUCAUGUUCUCUUUUUCUCUGAUUUUUCAGAAGAUAAUAUAUAAACCUGGGUACUUUUUGAAGUAACCUUUUAUUAGAUUAAUGGUGGGCUUCAAUACUUCAGUCAUUUUCUGUCUCUCAGAUAAAAAUCAGUGCUGUGUAAACUCUUUGCCUUGAGAUGCACCCUUGGCCAUAAAUAGGUCUCAGAGGCAUCAGGACGAAGCACAGCUCUAGUGGAAAAGAUGCACUUCUACAGCCCUCCAUGUUGUGUGAUAAACUCAGUGUCUGUCACUGGAAACUCCUGUAUGGACCUUAUUUUAGCAUCAGUCAGAGACAAUGCUGAGAAACAGGAGUGUAUGAAUCCACUGAUGUACAUCCAAACAAUGAAAUAUCUGCACUGGGAGGAAAAAAAGAAUACUCUGCUAUGGAAUAAUCUCCAAAAUGUGUUUGGAGCAAGGAACAAGAGCAUUUUAUGCAACAUUUUGUUUAAUAAGAUAGAAGAGAAUAGGAAUAUAUAGCCAAACUCAUUCAUUUUAUCUAUCUACCUAUCUGUCAUCUAUGUGUCAUCAUCAUCUAUAUCUAUCAUCUAUCUGCUUCCAUUGUUAAUAGAAGGAUUUUUUAAAUGAUUGUCUAUAGGGAAAAAUGUGGGAAUAAGUUGAAGGAAACUGGACUUUUCUGAAUAUAUAUAGUAUCUAAUGUAAUAAUAUUUUUAACUUGCAGAACAUUUAAAUAUU